CCUACGGGGGGCAGCAGUGGGGAAUAUUGCGCAAUGGGCGAAAGCCUGACGCAGCGACGCAGCGUGAGGGAUGAAGGUCUUCGGAUCGUAAACCUCUGUCAGCAGGGAAGAACGGUCACUGUGCUAAUCAGCAGUGAAUUGACGGUACCUGCAAAGGAAGCACCGGCUAACUCCGUGCCAGCAGCCGCGGUAAUACGGAGGGUGCGAGCGUUAAUCGGAAUUACUGGGCGUAAAGCGCUCGUAGGCGGUAUGUCAAGUCAAGGGUGAAAUCCCCGCGCUCAACGUGGGAAGUGCCUCUGAAACUGGCAAACUGGAGUGUGUGAGAGGAUAGUGGAAUUCCAGGUGUAGGAGUGAAAUCCGUAGAUAUCUGGAGGAACAUCAGUGGCGAAGGCGACUAUCUGGAACAUAACUGACGCUGAGGAGCGAAAGCGUGGGUAGCAAACAGGAUUAGAUACCCUUGUAGUC
Molecule: ribosomal RNA, 465 nt
Filed under: uncultured bacterium
Lineage: Bacteria
Description: partial 16S ribosomal RNA
Rfam family: Bacterial small subunit ribosomal RNA
Source: RNAcentral